UACGUAGGCAGCGAGCGUUGUUCGGAGUUACUGGGCGUAAAGGGUGCGUAGGCGGUUGUUUAAGUUUGGGGUGAAAUCUCCCGGCUCAACUGGGAGGGUGCGCCGAAUACUGAAUGACUAGAGUGCGGGAGAGGAUAGUGGAAUUCCUGGUGUAGCGGUGAAAUGCGUAGAUAUCAGGAGGAACACCGGUGGUGUAGACGGCUAUCUGGACCGUAACUGACGCUGAGGCACGAAAGCGUGGGUAGCAAAAAGG
Molecule: ribosomal RNA, 253 nt
Filed under: uncultured bacterium
Lineage: Bacteria
Description: partial 16S ribosomal RNA
Rfam family: Bacterial small subunit ribosomal RNA
Source: RNAcentral